GCGAGAGAAUUCUAAGAGCACCUUCUGCAAGGACCUGUCCUUGUCAGCGGCAGCAGAGAGGCAGGAGUGCUGUGGAGCUGGCUUCUGCUUCUCUCCUGUCUCCAGAGGAGGCUCUCCCUCUGGGGCUGGCUCCGGCUGCAGAGCAGGCCCAUGGUGUUCUGGUCGUGGAGCCGGAGCUAGGAGGAGGAAAGCUCAGCAGUGUCAGUCCCUCGCCAGUUCCCUGCGGAGCCUAGAAAAGACAUCCUGGCCAUUUGGGGGAUUCCAAUGCCCAACCAAAAGCCAUGAAAGCCUUCCGGACUGCUGUGGCCCUCACCAUCUGUGUCGGCCUCGUGGGGCUCUAGAUAUUCCACCUGAGCAAGGGGACGGCACAAGGGAGGCUCCAUGUCUGCUCCAGAUGAAUGAUUCUUCCACCCUUCGUAUCAGUCUCACACAAAUCUCAGGACACGAACACAAUACAGUCCUAUUUUCUGCUGGAGCACAACACACAUGGCCUGGAUCCAACUGCCACUGGCAUCCUUCUUCUCAACUGAAACCUCCUAAGUCUGGCCUUUCUCAUCUGCAAUCUCUCUGCACUCCGGUCUUCUGUGCUCGGACCAGAAUCUUCCAUCAAGCUCAGAUUAGAGCAUUCUAGGGCUGCUUCUCCAGCUGGCAUCUCCAAACCUUUCCAAACUGCUGUGGACCACUUCCACAGGCCUCUGAACCACCUGGUGAGGUACAGUCGCUGCAGUGACCAGCAGACUUCUUGUACCAACAUCUGUAUCACCCACUUGCUUGUCCCUGAACACAAUACUCAGCACUACACAUUAAGGGAAGAGAGGUUUGUUUCAGCUCACAUUUCAGUUCAUAGUUAGCUAGCUCCAGGAUGGCAGGAU
This 872-nucleotide long non-coding RNA is filed under the name Heterocephalus glaber (naked mole-rat). Its description in RNAcentral is "lncRNA (ENSHGLG00000033954.1)". The record is from RNAcentral. Lineage: Eukaryota; Metazoa; Chordata; Mammalia; Rodentia; Bathyergidae.